RNAcentral lists this signal recognition particle RNA (97 nucleotides) under Blastopirellula sp. RNAcentral describes it as "signal recognition particle sRNA small type". It matches the Rfam family "Bacterial small signal recognition particle RNA". From Rfam's summary of the family: The signal recognition particle (SRP) is a universally conserved ribonucleoprotein involved in the co-translational targeting of proteins to membranes. Archaeal SRP consists of a 7S RNA and homologues of the eukaryotic SRP19 and SRP54 proteins. In most bacteria, the SRP consists of a 4.5S RNA and the Ffh protein (a homologue of the eukaryotic SRP54 protein). Lineage: Bacteria; Pseudomonadati; Planctomycetota; Planctomycetia; Pirellulales; Pirellulaceae. The record is from RNAcentral.
AAGAGUGACCCUCGCAGUAGGGAACCGUGAAAUGGGUCAGGCCUUAAUUGGAGCAGCUCUAAGCGGGGUACCUAGGUGCGGGGGUCUCUCCUCGACA